GUGGGGAAUUUUGGACAAUGGGCGCAAGCCUGAUCCAGCAAUGCCGCGUGCAGGAAGAAGGCCUUCGGGUUGUAAACUGCUUUUGUACGGAACGAAACGGUCCUGGCUAAUACCUGGGGCUAAUGACGGUACCGUAAGAAUAAGCACCGGCUAACUACGUGCCAGCAGCCGCGGUAAUACGUAGGGUGCGAGCGUUAAUCGGAAUUACUGGGCGUAAAGCGUGCGCAGGCGGUGCUGUAAGACAGGCGUGAAAUCCCCGGGCUCAACCUGGGAAUUGCGCUUGUGACUGCAGUGCUGGAGUGCGGCAGAGGGGGAUGGAAUUCCGCGUGUAGCAGUGAAAUGCGUAGAUAUGCGGAGGAACACCGAUGGCGAAGGCAAUCCCCUGGGCCUGUACUGACGCUCAUGCACGAAAGCGUGGGGAGCAAACAGGAUUAGAUACCCUGGUAGUCC
RNAcentral lists this ribosomal RNA (450 nucleotides) under uncultured bacterium. Its description in RNAcentral is "partial 16S ribosomal RNA". It matches the Rfam family "Bacterial small subunit ribosomal RNA", at positions 354 to 796 of the family's 1533-position model. The record is from RNAcentral.